GAUGAACGCUAGCGGCAGGCUUAACACAUGCAAGUCGAGGGGCAACACGGGUAGCAAUACCUGGUGGCGACCGGCGCAAGGGUGCGUAACGCGUGAGCAACAUGCCCUAUACAGGGGGAUAAUCCAGGGAAACUUGGUCUAAUAUCCCAUAGUAUUUAGAGGUGGCAUCACCACUAAAUUAAAGCUUCGGUGGUAUAGGAUUGGCUCGCGUGACAUUAGCUGGAUGGUGGGGUAACGGCUCACCAUGGCGAUGAUGUCUAGGGGUUCUGAGAGGAAGACCCCCCACACUGGGACUGAGACACGGCCCAGACUCCUACGGGAGCAGCAGUGAGGAAUAUUGGACAAUGGAUGGGAAAUCUGAUCCAGCCAUGCCGCGUGCAGGAAGACGGCCCUAUGGGUUGUAAACUGCUUUUAUAUGGGAGCAAUAAGGUUUACGCGUAGACCGAUGAGAGUACCAUAUGAAUAAGCAUCGGCUAACUCCGU
Molecule: ribosomal RNA, 483 nt
Filed under: uncultured bacterium
Lineage: Bacteria
Description: bacterial SSU rRNA
Rfam family: Bacterial small subunit ribosomal RNA
Source: RNAcentral